Molecule: long non-coding RNA, 2584 nt
Filed under: Sus scrofa (pig)
Lineage: Eukaryota; Metazoa; Chordata; Mammalia; Artiodactyla; Suidae
Description: lncRNA (ENSSSCG00050038481.1)
Source: RNAcentral
AUGACCCAUGCCUCUUGGUUGACAUUCACUUCCAGGGGUGGCUGGGCUCUUUUGAGGCUGGUCUGUGGUUGACCUUCUGCCUUAAUGCUUCAGCCCUUGGUUCAUCCCACUUUGGCAGGAGGGCCAUGUUGUCUUUACCUCCUUAGAGUCCAGGCAUUGAGAACAUGGCAGGCAAAGCACCGGGCCCCUGUGACCAGAAGGGGAAGCACUACAGGCAUGUCAGCCUAUAAACCCUCCCUCUACCCUACUCUGCACAUCUCAUGAUCUGGUUGCAAUAGGUAGUUUGGGAGAUAGUUAUUUGAAGCCCUUGUGGUAUUUCAGUCAGGGCACAUGAGACUCAGAGCCCUCACUAUACUUGCCCAGGGGUGCCCAGGGGUGAGGACCAAGCCUAGAUAGGGUUAGGGUUAGGGUUAGGGUUAGGGUUAGGGUUAGCAUCCCACAGGCCAUGCUACCUGCUAUCCUUGGUAAGGAUCCCAGGGAUUUUGAAUUGAUUGCCAAAUAGGCAAAAGAACCAAUAGUCCAGACAACACAGGUCAUUUCAAAGACAGUAGAAGGAGACAGAGGCCAUCAGGGCAGGGGGCGGCCUACUCUGUAUGGGUGCCUCCACUCUCUCUAGGAUAAGAAUAUUCAUGAUGAAUUUUGAGAAUUUGGGGCUUUCCGUAGGAGUCAUGGCAUUGGGCAUUGUGAUGAACGUUAACCCACCUCUGAAUCGGUGAGAGGGGUAUUUCCACCCCGCCACCCCCCACCCCGAUGAUCUGUGAGAAACGGAAGGGAAUAGAGUGCUUGGUCCAGGGUCACGGCUGUGAGUGGCAGAGGCAGUACUGCAACUGAGGUUUCCUUCCCUUGUAAGCUGGUGCUGGUCCACUUGGCCACUUUGGAGGAGACCCAAAUGGAUGUUCCUUUUGGGGGGUCAUUCGCUGUAAGAGGCUUUGCUUGCCCCUUGCCAGGAUCACGUGGUUAGUAGAUAUGGCAGAAAGGUCAUUUGACCCCUCUUGGGAUCCCUGGACAGAUUUGUUUCCUUAGAAAGGGGACCUGGAACAGAUUCAUAAACUAGAAAUAAAUGGGGUAACAGGGUACAAAUUGGUAGAAGUCCGGUAGGGUGUGUUGUGUCAAAAUGUAACCACCAAUUUGUUUCUGCUGUGCCAGAAUGGGAACUCCUGGGGAAAUAUUUUAAAGUGUGUUUCAGCAAGUUGGGCAUUUGUUUUAUAAUUCCUUUGGAGUAUAUGCAAAACUUUGAUUAGGUGUGUGGGCAGUUUUAAAAACACCCAAGUACAUUUUGGGUUAUACAGCCACAAGGAUGCAUCUUUGGGUGAAUGAAGAAAGCAGUGCCUCUUUUGAGUAAAAUAACAGCAGGAAGAAAAAAAAAAAAGAAGAAGAAGCUGCAAUGGGAAGCACACCAUAAUCUCUUGAAAUUGAAAACAAUUAUGAUACAUAAAAAUAAUGAACCAUCUGAAAUUUUUAAGUGCUAUAAAAUAUUUCAGAUAGGCAAACAAAUUUUUCAUAUUAAAAAAAUUUAGAAAAUUAAGUAGGUAAAAAUUACCAAAAGAUAAACAAUAUCUUCAAAUCUCCUUCCAUGAUUUAUGUGAGUUUGUUUCUUUGUUUUUGCUAGGGGCCUACAGCAUGUGGAAGGAAGUUCUAGGGCCAGGGAUUGAAUCCAUGACCCAGCUGUGCCCUGCAACACAGCUGCAGCAACCCUGGUUCCUUAGCCCACUGCACCACACGGGUACUUCCUUAUUUGCAUUUUUGAAAUGGAAAAUCACGUAGAGGUACAAUUAGUGAGCGUUAUUAUGUGCCUGACACUUUUCUUAUUUUAAAUCCCUGCUUGUAUCCUCCUUACAACUCUGAGCAGUGAAGGUCUGUUAUUGGCUGUGGGAGCUGAGGCUUAGAGAGGUGAGAUUACUUGCUGGGGCCACACAGCUCUUUACUAGAGAAUGAACCCAGUCUGAUUCCAGAAUUAAAGCGCUGGACUCCAGGGUUUUAUUGCUUUUUCUUUAAGGUUUUUGUUUGAAUUUCUUUUAUUAAUCAUUUCAGCAUACCUUGAGAUCCCUUCCUUUGAAGGGCUUUUAACUCAAAUUGAGGUCUCUCUUCAUUGCAAUGAUGGUUGAGCCUCCAUGUAAUUGUUCUGCUAUAAACAGAUUAACAUGCUUAUGUCCUAGUGCCUGCUGAAGGCAACAUAAAGAUACACUCAUGCAUUCAUUCAUUCAUUGACUUGUUCAUUUGUUCUCUUGGUAAGUAUUACACUGUCAGGUAGGUUCAAGGUACUAUUUCCCUCAGUGGGUGUAUAGCAGUGGACAGAACCAUUCCCUGGUCUUAUGAGGCUUUCAUUCUAGUAGAGAAGUCAGAAACCAAAUAGGUAUACAAUGUGUCUUAACGGUGGUGAGUGGUAUAGAGAAAGUAAAUCAGGGUCAGGAAAUGGUGAGUGUAAGUGAGGGAUGUGCAUUUUUUACAUUAAAGAAGAAAAGAACAGUAUGACCUGAAGCUGGGCAUCAGGAAAUAUGGGGGAAGAGCAUUCCAGGAAGAGAACAGCAAGUGCAAAGGCCCUGUGGUGAGAGCCUCUUCAUUAAAAAAAAAAAAAAAAAAAAAA